This 75-nucleotide transfer RNA is filed under the name Promethearchaeota archaeon. Its description in RNAcentral is "Candidatus Lokiarchaeota archaeon tRNA-Arg". It matches the Rfam family "tRNA". From Rfam's summary of the family: Transfer RNA (tRNA) molecules are approximately 80 nucleotides in length. The record is from RNAcentral. Lineage: Archaea; Promethearchaeati; Promethearchaeota.
GGGCUCGUCGCCUAGCUAGGAUAUGGCACCAGCCUCCGGAAUUGGUCCUCGCAGGUUCAAAUCCUGCCGAGCCCG